This 253-nucleotide ribosomal RNA is filed under the name uncultured bacterium. RNAcentral describes it as "partial 16S ribosomal RNA". It matches the Rfam family "Bacterial small subunit ribosomal RNA", at positions 524 to 776 of the family's 1533-position model. The record is from RNAcentral.
GACAGAGGGUGCAAACGUUGUUCGGAUUUACUGGGCGUAAGGCGCGUGUAGGCGGCUUGGCAAGGCGGAUGUGAAAGCCCACGGCUCAACCGUGGAAGCGCAUCCGAAACUGCUUCGCUCGAGUCUCGGAGAGGAAGGUGGAAUGCUUGGUGUAGAGGUGAAAUUCGUAGAUAUCAAGCAGAACACCUGCGGCGAAGGCGGCCUUCUGGACGAUGACUGACGCUGAGACGCGAAAGCGUGGGGAGCAAACCGG